This 728-nucleotide ribosomal RNA is filed under the name Stenotrophomonas sp. RNAcentral describes it as "bacterial SSU rRNA". It matches the Rfam family "Bacterial small subunit ribosomal RNA", at positions 25 to 740 of the family's 1533-position model. The record is from RNAcentral. Lineage: Bacteria; Pseudomonadati; Pseudomonadota; Gammaproteobacteria; Lysobacterales; Lysobacteraceae.
CAGAGUGAACGCUGGCGGUAGGCCUAACACAUGCAAGUCGAACGGCAGCACAGUAAGAGCUUGCUCUUAUGGGUGGCGAGUGGCGGACGGGUGAGGAAUACAUCGGAAUCUACCUUUUCGUGGGGGAUAACGUAGGGAAACUUACGCUAAUACCGCAUACGACCUUCGGGUGAAAGCAGGGGACCUUCGGGCCUUGCGCGGAUAGAUGAGCCGAUGUCGGAUUAGCUAGUUGGCGGGGUAAAGGCCCACCAAGGCGACGAUCCGUAGCUGGUCUGAGAGGAUGAUCAGCCACACUGGAACUGAGACACGGUCCAGACUCCUACGGGAGGCAGCAGUGGGGAAUAUUGGACAAUGGGCGCAAGCCUGAUCCAGCCAUACCGCGUGGGUGAAGAAGGCCUUCGGGUUGUAAAGCCCUUUUGUUGGGAAAGAAAAGCAGUCGAUUAAUACUCGGUUGUUCUGACGGUACCCAAAGAAUAAGCACCGGCUAACUUCGUGCCAGCAGCCGCGGUAAUACGAAGGGUGCAAGCGUUACUCGGAAUUACUGGGCGUAAAGCGUGCGUAGGUGGUUGUUUAAGUCUGUUGUGAAAGCCCUGGGCUCAACCUGGGAAUUGCAGUGGAUACUGGACGACUAGAGUGUGGUAGAGGGUAGUGGAAUUCCCGGUGUAGCAGUGAAAUGCGUAGAGAUCGGGAGGAACAUCCAUGGCGAAGGCAGCUACCUGGACCAACAC